UAACGCGAAGAACCUUACCUACUCUUGACAUCCACGGAAUUCGGCAGAGAUGCCUUAGUGCCUUCGGGAACCGUGAGACAGGUGCUGCAUGGCUGUCGUCAGCUCGUGUUGUGAAAUGUUGGGUUAAGUCCCGCAACGAGCGCAACCCUUAUCCUUUGUUGCCAGCGAGUCAUGUCGGGAACUCAAAGGAGACUGCCGGUGAUAAACCGGAGGAAGGUGGGGAUGACGUCAAGUCAUCAUGGCCCUUACGAGUAGGGCUACACACGUGCUACAAUGGCGCAUACAAAGAGAAGCGACCUCGCGAGAGCAAGCGGACCUCACAAAGUGCGUCGUAGUCCGGAUCGGAGUCUGCAACUCGACUCCGUGAAGUCGGAAUCGCUAGUAAUCGUGGAUCAGAAUGCCACGGUGAAUACGUUCCCGGGUCUUGUACACA
This 433-nucleotide ribosomal RNA is filed under the name uncultured bacterium. RNAcentral's name for it is "bacterial SSU rRNA". It matches the Rfam family "Bacterial small subunit ribosomal RNA", at positions 957 to 1389 of the family's 1533-position model. The record is from RNAcentral.